GCUUGUCUCAAAGAUUAAGCCAUGCAUGUCUAAGUAUAAGCCUUUACACGGUGAGACUGCGAAUGGCUCAUUAAAUCAGAAACUGUUUAUUUGAUAGUGCCUACUACUUGGAUAACCGUAGUAAUUCUAGAGCUAAUACAUGCACCCAUGCCCGACUUUGUGGAAGGGUUGUGUUUAUUAGUUACAGAACCAACCCAGGCUCUGCCUGGUCUUGUGGUGAUUCAUAAUAACCGAACGAAUCGUAUGGCAUCAGCUGGCGAUGAAUCAUUCAAGUUUCUGACCUAUCAGCUUCCGACGGUAGGGUAUUGGCCUACCGUGGCAAUGACGGGUAACGGAGAAUUAGGGUUCGAUUCCGGAGAGGGAGCCUGAGAAACGGCUACCACAUCUAAGGAAGGCAGCAGG
This 402-nucleotide ribosomal RNA is filed under the name Azadinium dalianense. RNAcentral's name for it is "partial small subunit ribosomal RNA". It matches the Rfam family "Eukaryotic small subunit ribosomal RNA", at positions 30 to 432 of the family's 1831-position model. Lineage: Eukaryota; Dinophyceae; Gonyaulacales; Amphidomataceae. The record is from RNAcentral.